UACGAGGGGUGCAAGCGUUAAUCGGAAUUACUGGGCGUAAAGCGCGCGUAGGUGGUUCAGCAAGUUGGAUGUGAAAGCCCUGGGCUCAACCUGGGAACUGCAUCCAAAACUACUGAGCUAGAGUACGGUAGAGGGUAGUGGAAUUUCCUGUGUAGCGGUGAAAUGCGUAGAGAUGUGGAGGAAUACCGAUGGCGAAGGCAGCCCCUCGGU
This 210-nucleotide ribosomal RNA is filed under the name uncultured bacterium. RNAcentral's name for it is "partial 16S ribosomal RNA". It matches the Rfam family "Bacterial small subunit ribosomal RNA", at positions 524 to 733 of the family's 1533-position model. The record is from RNAcentral.